RNAcentral lists this unclassified non-coding RNA (957 nucleotides) under Athalia rosae (coleseed sawfly). Its description in RNAcentral is "misc RNA ENSAEAG00005006319.1". Lineage: Eukaryota; Metazoa; Arthropoda; Insecta; Hymenoptera; Athaliidae. The record is from RNAcentral.
CGUAUGUAUCUAUACACAUGUAUAUAGGUAUAUAUCUAUAUACGUAACUUCCGCGCACCCUGUAUUGUGAGGUAGCAUUUGUACUAGCGUGUCAAUAAAGAUUGAUAUUUAUCGUAUAAUAAUAAUAUAUAUCUAUACAUAUAUUUAUUCAUUUAUAUAAAGUAUAUUGUAGGUAUAAGUAAACUUACGUAUCAUAUAUGUAGUAUAUGCCUAUGUAUGAUUUUAACGUACAAGCAGCAGCUGGCGUCAUUAAUAAGUAUAUAUUUACGUAUGUAUAUAUAUACAGAUAUAGAUACAUAUGCACGUCGCAAGUUAAUCAAUGAAGAUCGACCACUGCGAGACGAUUAUUUCUGAUAUAAAUAAGGCGGCAUUAUAAUCGCUGGUGUCGUUGAGCAGCUGUAAGGUGGUGGUUAUUUUCAUUCAAAUAUGGGCUAUAAUUUACUAAGUCUAUUUUAAAAAUCGUAAGCCAAAACAGUCUCUCCGAUACCAGCGAAGAUGAUUCCGAGCAAUGGUUAUAACAUUUAUAUUUUACGUCAAUUUGCUACUGAUCCGUGAAAAAUAAUUCGGACCUUAACCGACUAUGACGGUAUCUUCGACGAACUCGUACUCGGGAACUUCUAGGUUGAGAGGUGCUGGACCCUUCCUGAUUCUUCCACUGGCAUCGUAGUGAGAUCCGUGACAUGGGCAAUAGUAACCGCCGUACUCUCCGGCGUUAGCUAUUGGCACACAUCCCAAGUGGGUGCAUAUUCCUAUCACAAUCAACCACUCGGAGCGCUUGACUCUUUCAUCGUCGUGUUGUUGGUCUCGUAACUCGGCCAGUGGUACGCUUCGUUCACGAUCGAUCUCCUCUUUCCCUCUGAAAAAUUGUUUCACCUACUUAUUGGUUGUUCGAUAUCGUGUAUAAUUACUUGAGAAAUUUUUCAAAUCUCUGUAAGAAGCUCAAUUCGUCGAGUCAUC